UUCUGCGCAGGCGGCGGGGGGCCCGGCCAGUGCGUCUCUCUCCCCCGGCCCCGCAGUGGUCCGGCCCAUCCCCCGCGCGUCCCCGCGGGACCUCGGCUCCACUCGCCCGGCGCCGCGGGAUGCACGCGGGGCUCCGGCUCUCCGCUGGGGGGCGCCGCACCGCUUCUCCUCUUCCGCUCGGCGUCCCGGGAGUGGAAGCGUCCGGGCAGGCUGACUCAGGGUGAGGCUCCUGAGGUCCAGAGACGACAAGCAACACGCCAAAGGUCACACAGUGGGUGAGUGUGACUCAGAAGUUUUCCUGGUUCCUGUCUUCCCAGUUUCUGUCUGAGGCACACUCAGAAGCCAGCUGCGCGCCCAGAAAUUUCCAUGUGAAAGACAGAGUCCUGGCAACACCAACUCGUGUCCUGGUACUUUCCCCAGGUCUUACUUAUAGAAACAUCCUGAAGGGAACCAGGAAAGGCCAGGCCACUGCAAAACCGGAAUUGCAAGGUAACGUGUGUGACAAAACACUGCAAGUUCCAGCACCUCCGCUAAUCAUGCUUCUAGGAUUAGCGCUCAUCUGUGCAUGUGCAACCCAUGUCUUGCCUACAAGAGCACUAAUUUCUCCUCCCUUUUUUUCACUU
Sus scrofa (pig) is the source of this 623-nucleotide non-coding RNA. The record is from RefSeq and is a predicted model, not a curated record. Lineage: Eukaryota; Metazoa; Chordata; Mammalia; Artiodactyla; Suidae.